Molecule: non-coding RNA, 111 nt
Organism: Acanthosepion pharaonis
Lineage: Eukaryota; Metazoa; Mollusca; Cephalopoda; Sepiida; Sepiidae
Source: the annotation of a GenBank genome assembly
CAACCAUAUUAUGCUGAAACACCAUUUCCUGUUCGAUCACCAAAGUUAAGUAAUAUUGAGCCAGGUCAAUACAUAGAUGAGUGACCACUUGGGAAUAUCAGAUGCUGUAAG